This 246-nucleotide ribosomal RNA is filed under the name uncultured bacterium. RNAcentral's name for it is "partial 16S ribosomal RNA". It matches the Rfam family "Bacterial small subunit ribosomal RNA", at positions 334 to 597 of the family's 1533-position model. The record is from RNAcentral.
UGAUCCUACGGGACGCAGCAGUGGGGGAUAUUGCACAAUGGGGGGAACCCUGAUGCAGCGACGCCGCGUGGGUGAAGAAGCGCCUCGGCGCGUAAAGCCCUGUCAGCAGGGAAGAAAAUGACGGUACCUGAAGAAGAAGCCCCGGCUAACUACGUGCCAGCAGCCGCGGUAAUACGUGGGGGGCAAGCGUUAUCCGGAUUUACUGUGGGUAAAGGGGGCGCAGACGGCGAUGCAAGACAGGGGUGA